CCUACGGGUGGCAGCAGUGGGGAAUUUUGGACAAUGGGGGCAACCCUGAUCCAGCAAUGCCGCGUGUGUGAAGAAGGCCUUCGGGUUGUAAAGCACUUUUGUGAACCGGACGGUACCUGAAGAAUAAGCACCGGCUAACUACGUGCCAGCAGCCGCGGUAAUACGUAGGGUGCAAGCGUUAAUCGGAAUUACUGGGCGUAAAGCGUGCGCAGGCGGUUAUGUAAGACAGAUGUGAAAUGCCCGGGCUCAACCUGGGAACUGCAUUUGUGACUGCAUGGCUAGAAUCUGGCAGAGGGGGGUAGAAUUCCACGUGUAGCAGUGAAAUGCGUAGAUAUGUGGAGGAAUACCGAUGGCGAAGGCAGCCCCCUGGGCUAAAUUGACGCUCAUGCACGAAAGCGUGGGGAGCAAACAGGAUUAGAUACCCUUGUAGUC
RNAcentral lists this ribosomal RNA (432 nucleotides) under uncultured bacterium. RNAcentral describes it as "partial 16S ribosomal RNA". It matches the Rfam family "Bacterial small subunit ribosomal RNA", at positions 338 to 795 of the family's 1533-position model. The record is from RNAcentral.